RNAcentral lists this ribosomal RNA (870 nucleotides) under uncultured bacterium. Its description in RNAcentral is "bacterial SSU rRNA". It matches the Rfam family "Bacterial small subunit ribosomal RNA", at positions 28 to 896 of the family's 1533-position model. The record is from RNAcentral.
AUUGAACGCUGGCGGAAUGCUUUACACAUGCAAGUCGAACGGCAGCACGGACUUCGGUCUGGUGGCGAGUGGCGAACGGGUGAGUAAUAUAUCGGAACGUAUCCAAUAAUGGGGGAUAACUAAUCGAAAGGUUGGCUAAUACCGCAUACGCCCUACGGGGGAAAGCUAGGGACCUUCGGGCCUGGCGUUAAUGGCGCGGCCAAUAUCUGAUUAGCUAGUUGGUGGGGUAAAGGCCCACCAAGGCGACGAUCAGUAGCUGGUCUGAGAGGACGACCAGCCACACUGGAACUGAGACACGGUCCAGACUCCUACGGGAGGCAGCAGUGGGGAAUUUUGGACAAUGGGCGAAAGCCUGAUCCAGCCAUUCCGCGUGAGUGAAGAAGGCCUUCGGGUUGUAAAGCUCUUUCGCAAGGGAAGAAAACUUAGAUACUAAUAUUAUCUGAGGUUGACGGUACCUUGAUAAGAAGCACCGGCUAACUACGUGCCAGCAGCCGCGGUAAUACGUAGGGUGCGAGCGUUAAUCGGAAUUACUGGGCGUAAAGCGUGCGCAGGCGGUUUUGUAAGUCAGAUGUGAAAUCCCCGAGCUCAACUUGGGAACUGCGUCCGAAACUACAAGACUAGAAUAUGUCAGAGGGGGGUAGAAUUCCAAGUGUAGCAGUGAAAUGCGUAGAGAUUUGGAGGAAUACCGAAGGCGAAGGCAGCCCCCUGGGAUAAGACUGACGCUGAGUCACGAAAGCGUGGGUAGCAAACAGGAUUAGAUACCCUGGUAGUCCACGCCCUAAACGAUGUCUACUUGCUGUUGGGGGUGAAACCUUAGUAGCGAAGCUAACGCGAGAAGUAGACCGCCUGGGGAGUACGGUCGCAAGAUUA